UCGCUGUGAAGAUGCAGUGUACCCGCGGCAAGACGGAAAGACCCCGUGAACCUUUACUAUAGCUUGACACUGAACAUUGAGCCUUGAUGUGUAGGAUAGGUGGGAGGCUUAGAAGUGUGGACGCCAGUCUGCAUGGAGCCGGCCUUGAAAUACCACCCUUUAAUGUUUGAUGUUCUAACGUGGACCCGUAAUCCGGGUUGCGGACAGUGUCUGGUGGGUAGUUUGACUGGGGCGGUCUCCUCCUAAAGAGUAACGGAGGAGCACGAAGGUUGGCUAAUCCUGGUCGGACAUCA
Molecule: ribosomal RNA, 293 nt
Filed under: Escherichia coli
Lineage: Bacteria; Pseudomonadati; Pseudomonadota; Gammaproteobacteria; Enterobacterales; Enterobacteriaceae
Description: partial 23S ribosomal RNA
Rfam family: Bacterial large subunit ribosomal RNA
Source: RNAcentral